RNAcentral lists this ribosomal RNA (324 nucleotides) under uncultured eukaryote. Its description in RNAcentral is "partial 18S ribosomal RNA". It matches the Rfam family "Eukaryotic small subunit ribosomal RNA", at positions 1470 to 1796 of the family's 1831-position model. The record is from RNAcentral.
CCCUUAGAUGUUCUGGGCUGCACGCGCGCUACACUGAAGCUAUCAACACGUUUUCCCUCCCUGAGAAGGGCGGGUAACCUUUUGAAUCAGCUUCGUGGUAAGGAUCGGGGCUUGCAAUUGUUCCCCGUGAACCAGGAAUUCCUAGUAGACGCGAGUCAUAAGCUCGCAUCGAUUAAGUCCCUGCCCUUUGUACACACCGCCCGUCGCUACUACCGAUUGAACGUUUUAGUGAGGCAUUUGGACCGACGCAUCUCAGUUUAACCGCUGGUUUGUGUUGGAAAGACUUCCAAACUUGAGCGUUUAGAGGAAGUAAAAGUCGUAACA